GUGGGAGGGGGCUUGCUUCCGAUGGCGGUGGCUCAGUCAGUAAAGUUGUGACUGAACUACAGCUAUCGGGGGCAAGCCCCCUCCCAC
RNAcentral lists this unclassified non-coding RNA (87 nucleotides) under Pseudomonas orientalis. The record is from RNAcentral. Lineage: Bacteria; Pseudomonadati; Pseudomonadota; Gammaproteobacteria; Pseudomonadales; Pseudomonadaceae.